AUACGUAGGGAGCGAGCGUUGUCCGGAAUUACUGGGCGUAAAGGGCGCGUAGGCGGCGCUUCAAGUCGUCUGUCAAAUGGGAGGGCUUAACCCUUUUUCGCAGACGAAACUGGAGAGCUUGAGAAGCAGAGAGGCAAACAGAAUUCCUGGUGUAGCGGUGAAAUGCGUAGGUAUCAGGAAGAAUACCAGUGGCGAAGGCGGUUUGCUGGCUGCAUACUGACGCUGAAGCGCGAAAGCCAGGGGAGCAAACGGGAUUAGAUACCCCGGUAGUCCUGGCAGUAAACGAUGUAUGCUGGGUGUGAGACUAGCGAUAGUUUCGUGCCGAAGUUAACGCGAUAAGCAUACCGCCUGGGGAGUACGGUCGCAAGAUUGAAACUCAAAGGAAUUGACGGGG
RNAcentral lists this ribosomal RNA (394 nucleotides) under uncultured bacterium. RNAcentral's name for it is "partial 16S ribosomal RNA". It matches the Rfam family "Bacterial small subunit ribosomal RNA", at positions 523 to 918 of the family's 1533-position model. The record is from RNAcentral.